Molecule: ribosomal RNA, 449 nt
Filed under: uncultured bacterium
Lineage: Bacteria
Description: partial 16S ribosomal RNA
Rfam family: Bacterial small subunit ribosomal RNA
Source: RNAcentral
AACGAACGCUGGCGGCAUGCCUAACACAUGCAAGUCGAACGAGAUCUUCGGGUCUAGUGGCGCACGGGUGCGUAACGCGUGGAAAUCUGCCCUUUGGUUCGGAAUAACAGUUGGAAACGACUGCUAAUACCGGAUGAUGACGAAAGUCCAAAGAUUUAUCGCCAGAGGAUGAGCCCGCGUAGGAUUAGCUAGUUGGUGUGGUAAAGGCGCACCAAGGCGACGAUCCUUAGCUGGUCUGAGAGGAUGAUCAGCCACACUGGGACUGAGACACGGCCCAGACUCCUACGGGAGGAAGCAGUGGGGAAUAUUGGACAAUGGGCGAAAGCCUAAUCCAGCAAUGCCGCGUGAGUGAUGAAGGCCUUAGGGUUGUAAAGCUCUUUUACCCGGGAUGAUAAUGACAGUACCGGGAGAAUAAGCUCCGGCUAACUCCGUGCCAGCAGCCGCCGUAA